CUCACUUUAGCUCAGCUGGAAGAGCAUGAGACUGUAAUGGUUACGCUGACUAAGCAAAUCUCAGGGUCGCCUGUUCGAGCCAGGCAAGUGAGA
RNAcentral lists this transfer RNA (93 nucleotides) under Ephemerocybe angulata. RNAcentral's name for it is "Coprinellus angulatus tRNA". It matches the Rfam family "tRNA". From Rfam's summary of the family: Transfer RNA (tRNA) molecules are approximately 80 nucleotides in length. The record is from Rfam by way of RNAcentral. Lineage: Eukaryota; Fungi; Basidiomycota; Agaricomycetes; Agaricales; Psathyrellaceae.